RNAcentral lists this ribosomal RNA (454 nucleotides) under uncultured bacterium. RNAcentral's name for it is "bacterial SSU rRNA". It matches the Rfam family "Bacterial small subunit ribosomal RNA", at positions 28 to 493 of the family's 1533-position model. The record is from RNAcentral.
GACGAACGCUGGCGGCGCGCCUAACACAUGCAAGUCGAACGGAGCUGAGAGGAGCUUGCUUUUCUCAGCUUAGUGGCGAACGGGUGAGUAACGCGUGAGUAACCUGCCCUGGAGUGGGGGACAACAGUUGGAAACGACUGCUAAUACCGCAUAAGCCCACGAUCCGGCAUCGGAUUGAGGGAAAAGGAUUUAUUCGCUUCAGGAUGGACUCGCGUCCAAUUAGCUAGUUGGUGAGGUAACGGCCCACCAAGGCGACGAUUGGUAGCCGGACUGAGAGGUUGAACGGCCACAUUGGGACUGAGACACGGCCCAGACUCCUACGGGAGGCAGCAGUGGGGGAUAUUGCACAAUGGGGGAAACCCUGAUGCAGCGACGCCGCGUGGAGGAAGAAAGUUUUCGGAUUGUAAACUCCUGUCGUUAGGGACGAUAAUGACGGUACCUAACAAGAAAGCAC